CACCCACAUGGCUGAGCUGGCACCAUAGGGUGAGGGCACCAGGGCCAUGGGGACCGUGGUUGCUUGCCUCAGACAUGGCCAGCAAGGGAGGCACAACAUGGGGCUGUUGAGUGAAUGUGUGAGAGGCUGUGGGUCCCCACAGUCCAGCCACCAGCGGCCUCGCAGCAUCAUAGGAGUCUGAGGUCCAAGACACCGGACUCACAUCUCAACCCUGCCCUGUGCUGCUCAGGGCCAAGUCUAAGCUGCUGUGACAAAGAGGCCCCCACAUGCAGCAGCUGCCACAGAACACGGUCAUCUGUUUUUCAUGCACGCUGUAGCCCUGGUCAUUCCAGCCAGAGCCUCCAGGUUUUGUUGCUCUUCCAGGGCACGUUCUGGGCUGUGUGAUGGAGGCUGGACUGUGGGCUCCUCUGAGGAGGUAGAGGGAUGCGCACCAGGGCCCCCGUGUUGAGGCUCGGCUCCCACCCCAUCACCUCUACUCUAGUGAGGCCACUUCCUGCGAAGGUAGCUGGAUGCUCCUGCCUGGAGCUGCCCCCGGACCACAGAGCAUCCAGGAGAUGAAUGCACUUCCAGCCCCGCCACCCUGGGGAGAUAUACAGCUGAGGUGGCAGCUUUGGAGCAAGCAGGGCAGAGAUGCUUCCCCCUGAGGUCCCUCCCAGCUCUGCUACCUUGUCACUCAAGCACUCAUAAUCCAGGUUCAGUUUCUGCCAGCACUAAUUUGGUUUAUUCCACAUGGCUGGAGCCACUGCGGGACUCCAUUUGUUCCGGGGCCACCUUCCUGUCACCUUUUACUGUUUCUUGAGUCAGCAAGAAAGGCAGAUCCGACUGAAGACUCCAGCACUCUCCUCAGCUGCAGCCCCCACAGAGCUCCGCGAAGUCCUUUCUCCCACAGGACAGAUCUGAGGCACCCACCAUUAGAAGAAAGGAGUGGAGAAAUGAUAUGCAGGAAGAAGGCCCAUUCUGAUUCACCAAUCGCAUGGACGCACUUUCCUACCAGGCUAGGAGGGAGGAAAGUAGAGCCCCACCCUGACUGCUAAGCCGUUUGCUUUGGUGUCAUGAAAAAAGAGUUCAGCUUCCCAAAUCAGAGAGGAAAAGGUUUUCAAGGGGUCCCCUAUUUCUAUUAUGUAAGCUUUAAAUGACAAAGUGGACCUCUGGGGCCAACGUGGGUGUGUGAUGGUGGUUUUGUGGGAUUCUCCCCAUAGCCCCAUCAGACGGCCUCACCUUCUGGGUCUCAGUGGCCCCAGGUGCAACACGGCUCCUCCAGAAAUGAUGACAGCCCUGGCGACCAAGGACUCCCUGUGCCACUGGGUUUGCGCUCAGAAGUAUAUUCAAUGAUUUCCCCAGAAAAUUCCAAGUCAUCUCCUAAUACUGUUUGUGAAAACUA
This 1381-nucleotide long non-coding RNA is filed under the name Homo sapiens (human). RNAcentral's name for it is "HSALNT0375422". Lineage: Eukaryota; Metazoa; Chordata; Mammalia; Primates; Hominidae. The record is from RNAcentral.